Molecule: non-coding RNA, 54 nt
Organism: Salmo salar (Atlantic salmon)
Lineage: Eukaryota; Metazoa; Chordata; Actinopteri; Salmoniformes; Salmonidae
Source: Rfam
AAUGCACCAAUUUGUAAGUCGCUCUGGAUAAGAGCAUCUGCUAAAUUACAUAAA